RNA transcript from Triticum aestivum (bread wheat), 1886 nucleotides. It is a transcript of the gene named protein FLX-like 3, with no coding region annotated. The record is from RefSeq and is a predicted model, not a curated record. The transcript has 6 exons. NCBI's taxonomy places the organism in Eukaryota, Viridiplantae, Streptophyta, Magnoliopsida, Poales, Poaceae.
UGCUCUAAGGAGUAAGGUCCCAUGACCGAACCAAUCUGUUGCUCUGACCUACCAGAGCCCCAAUCCCGGCUCAUUAAAAAUCUUCUCUAGUCUACCGCGCUACGCCAGCUGCUGCCGAGCGUCGUCGCCGACGCCUCACGGCCCAAACCCUAACCCACCUCUCACGCGCGUCGCCGCCACCAUCGCCGUUCCCAUUCCACCUCGUCACGUCCCUGCCGUAUUCACCCCGUCCGAAACCUUGGACAUUGGUUUCUGAAGGCCACCAGGUUACCUAGAAUCAUCAUGUCAGGAAGAGAUCGCCUGCCGCGCCGUUUUGUCGAAGAUGGAAGGGGCUAUGUUGACGCCCGUGUGGCUGAGGAUCGCAGGGGUCAUCAUCCUGGUAUCCGAGUGGUUGAUGAUCGUAGGGGCCAUCACGAGAUCCGUGUAGUCGAAGAUCGCAGAGCCUAUCCUGCAGUUCGUGUGAUUGAGGAUCGUAGAGCCUACCCUGAGAUUCACGAAAGGCCGCUCAUGAGGGUGGCUCCUCGCUCUCACCUGGAUGUCCUAGAGGAAGAAAUUCAGUUGCACGAGAUUGAUUUCCGCAGGCUUAUGGCUGAUCGUCAUGCUCUAGCUGAGGAACGGAUGGAGUUGCACAGGGAGUUGCAAGCCGGAAAGGAGGAGGUCCGUCACCUUAACAUGAUCAUCGCAGAGAUUAAUGCCAAGAAGGAAGCUUAUAUCAGCGAGCUCGUUGACAAGAGAAGGAAGCUUGAAGCUGAACUUAGAUCAAAUGAGCCUUUGAGAGAUGAGGUUGUGCAUCUUCGUGGUGAAAUCGAGAAGCUCCUUGCUGUUAGGAAAGAACUCUCUGCAAAGGCUGCAUCACUCAUGCAGGAGCUGAGUAGGGAGAGAUCUGAUAAACAACAGUUACCUAUGCUGAAAGCAGAGAUUGAGGGCCUUCAACUGGAACUUACCCAUGCAAGUUGUAUUGUUUGCAGGAAUGCAUGUGAAUUGGAGCAGAAGGGGAAUUUCGAGUUGGUGGAACAAAGGAAAGCAAUGGAGAAGAGUAUGAUUUCGAUGGCACAAGAAAUUCAACAAAUGCGGGCCGAAUUAGCUAAUUUUGAUGGCAGACCAUGGGGCACAGAAAAUUCGCUCUCAUGGUACUAUGUCUAUCUGCUCUCUAAGGUGGAGCACAUGGGAUGAAGCUGGGCAGUCCUGAAGCGACCUUCCCUACUCAAUAUGGAGAUAAAUACAAUAUACAUGCGGGAGUUUCUGAGAAAGGUCCUUCGCACCCUCCUGAAUCUUCGUGGGGCACAUUUGAGAAGAACCGUUUCCAGUACCGCUAAGACCCCAGCUGCUACAUUCCGGGGAGAAAGAAUCACCUCUAGGUUGAAUCCUCAGUUGGUCCUUUCCUCUGAUGACAGAAGAUGUAUUUGUUCAUGUGAAGGAGCCGUCACUGCCAGAAAACAGUAAUAAAUAUGGUAACGGGGAUAACUGUUGCCUUUCUGACGCUGAAGGUUCUAUGCCAGUUAACUGAUACAUCUAGAGAUGCGCUCUUCUAAAACAUCAUAUUUUCUAGACAUCCCUGAAAAGAGAUCAAGAUGGAUUAUCAUACCAGUUGGAGAUAUGGGAAAUGGUUAAAUCAGUCAAGAGUGCCCUAGCAACACUUGGAAGGUCUUGAAUGUGGGCGUGUGGGCGAUUGGGUUCAUUUGCAGGCAUUAAGUUUUGUUGUGGUUUUGGGGGAAGAGUGAACUUGUGCCAUAGAAGUUUCUGGUUGUCUGGAAGCCCCUGUUCUGUGUCACUGUCGUGAUAAUUUCCUUUCUCCAUAGGGAAGUUGAAAAGAGAUUCUGCUACAAAUUGUAUAGCAGUGAAGCCCCUGUUGGUGGAUUGAACUGUGCCUGGCCAUGAUGCUUCCA